GGUGGUGCUGGAGGUUAUCCUGGUGGAGCUGGUGGCGUACCUGGUGGGGCUGGAGGCUAUGCCGGUGCCAAGGCACGUAAAUAUGGCCUUCCUGGUGGUGGUUUAGCUGCUGGACUUGGAGGAGUGCCUGGUUCAGGUGUAAGACCAGGAGGGGGAUACGGACCUGGUGGCGGUGUGGGCCCUGGUGGAGGAUAUGGACCAGGCGGAGUUGGUCCAGGUGGAGUUGGACCUGGUGGAGUUGGACCUGGUGAAGUUGGUCCAG
This is a long non-coding RNA of Sardina pilchardus (European sardine), 262 nucleotides long. RefSeq lists it as uncharacterized. The transcript has 3 exons. The record is from RefSeq and is a predicted model, not a curated record. Lineage: Eukaryota; Metazoa; Chordata; Actinopteri; Clupeiformes; Clupeidae.